UUAACCGCAGCGCCUUUU
Molecule: unclassified non-coding RNA, 18 nt
Filed under: synthetic construct
Description: RNA (5'-R(P*UP*AP*AP*CP*CP*GP*CP*AP*GP*CP*G)-3') from synthetic construct (PDB 7UU5, chain N)
Source: RNAcentral